CAGUCGCCACGGGAACACGAAGGGGGAUAGCGUUGCUCGGAAUCACUGGGCGUAAAGGGUGCGUAGGCGGUUAUGUAAGACAGGUGUGAAUCCCCGGGCUUAACCUGGGAACUGCGCUUGUGACUGCACAGCUAGAGUAUGGCAGAGGGGGGUGGAAUUCCACGUGUAGCAGUGAAAUGCGUAGAGAUGUGGAGGAACACCGAUGGCGAAGGCAGCCCCCUGGGCCAAUACUGACGCUCAUGCACGAAAGCGUGGGGAGCAAACAGGAUUAGAUACCCCCGUAGUCCCUGUCUCUUAUACA
This 301-nucleotide ribosomal RNA is filed under the name uncultured bacterium. RNAcentral's name for it is "partial 16S ribosomal RNA". It matches the Rfam family "Bacterial small subunit ribosomal RNA", at positions 509 to 808 of the family's 1533-position model. The record is from RNAcentral.